RNAcentral lists this unclassified non-coding RNA (329 nucleotides) under soil metagenome. RNAcentral's name for it is "partial contains 5.8S ribosomal RNA, internal transcribed spacer 2, and large subunit ribosomal RNA". The stretch from base 1 to 120 matches the Rfam family "5.8S ribosomal RNA", at positions 35 to 154 of the family's 154-position model. The record is from RNAcentral.
GAUGAAGAACGUAGCGAAAUGCGAUACGUAAUGUGAAUUGCAGAAUUCAGUGAAUCAUCGAGUCUUUGAACGCACAUUGCGCCCCCUGGUAUCCCGAGGGGCAUGCCUGUUCGAGCGUCAUUUCACCACUCAAGCCUGGCUUGGUGUUGGGCGACGUCCCCUUUGGGGACGCGCCUCGAAACGCUCGGCGGCGUGGCACCGGCUUUAAGCGUAGCAGAAUCUUUCGCUUUGGAAGUCGGGGCCCCGUCUGCCGGAAGACCUACUCGCAAGGUUGACCUCGGAUCAGGCAGGGAUACCCGCUGAACUUAAGCAUAUCAAUAAGCGGAGGA